This 197-nucleotide ribosomal RNA is filed under the name uncultured bacterium. RNAcentral describes it as "partial 16S ribosomal RNA". It matches the Rfam family "Bacterial small subunit ribosomal RNA", at positions 328 to 539 of the family's 1533-position model. The record is from RNAcentral.
ACGCUCGACACCUACGGGAGGCAGCAGUGGGGAAUAUUGCACAAUGGGGGAAACCCUGAUGCAGCAACGCCGCGUGAAGGAAGACGGUUUUCGGAUUGUAAACUUCUGUUCUUAGUGAAGAUAGUGACGGUAGCUAAGGAGCAAGCCACGGCUAACUACGUGCCAGCAGCCAGGUAAUCUGAGCGGGCUGGCAAGGC